Molecule: long non-coding RNA, 2196 nt
Organism: Bubalus bubalis (water buffalo)
Lineage: Eukaryota; Metazoa; Chordata; Mammalia; Artiodactyla; Bovidae
Exons: 3
Source: RefSeq, a predicted model, not a curated record
AUAGUUACAUUUUGUGUGUGUGAUGAGAACUUUUAGAAUAUACUCUUAUCAACUUUCAAAUAUACAAUGCAGUAUUGUGAAUUAUAGUUGCCAUGCUGUAUAAUACAUCCCUAGAAGUUACUCAUCUUAUAACUGAAAGUUUAUAAAAACCUUUUUACCAUCUUCACCCAUUUUCCCCACGUCCACACCCUUCCCUUUAGCAAUUGCCAAUCUGUUCUCUGUUCCUAUGAGUUUGGUAAUUUUAGAUGUCACAUAUAAUGAGAGGGUGCAUAUAUAUAUAUAGUCGCUUAGUCUUGUCUAACUUUUUGCAACCCCAUUGAUUGUAGACUGGUGUAGCCCACCGGGUUCCUCUGUCUAUGGGAAUUCUCCAGGCAAAAAUACUAGAGUGGGUUGCCACGCCUUCCUCCUGGAAUCCUCCCAACCCAAGGAUCAAACCCUGGACUGCAGGCAGAUUCCUUACCAGUUGAGCUACUAGGGAAGCCCAUAGUGUCUGUUUUCCUCCCUUCUUACUGUUCUGUCUGUCCUUUUGCAAAGUACUAGCUGACUGCCCCACCUACUUCUGUAAUUCUGCGCUUCCCUCUUCCUGCCCCUCCCACCACAUUCUUAGAGCAGAACCAGCCACUUGGCCCCAGCUAGAAGUGAUCAGUUCCGUGGAGCCCAAUUCCAGGGCUUGCCGAGGGAGGGUAGAUUCUAUUCUGCUAGACCUGGGUGGGGCCUUGGAGGUCUUCUGGUCCCUCCUAUGUGAUAUGAGGAAGUGAAACCAGAGACACUGGCCCUGAACUUCUCAAUACCACAGAGAGAGUCAGUGCCAGGUCCAGGAAUGAACUGUCUGGAUUCAUUUUGAAUAAAUUCUCUUUUCCCCAUUCUUUCUGUUAUACACCAGGGUGGAAAAAGAAGCCAACUUUUCUGGAGACUCAGGACCCAUUUGGCAGAGAAGCACAUAGAAAAGCCAGAGAAUGCAGCCUGGAGAGAUGGAAGAUGCCAGUCAGGUCUCACUAGUGUCUAGGAAUGGAAGAAGAAGAAGCCAAGCAUUCCUGCAAGGUGGAUACAGCACAGCACCCAGGAUAUGGGACAGGGUGGGACAGAAAUGACAACUAAGUCCAUCUCACAGGCCUAAUCCAAAGAGUUUCUAGUGGUCGCCUCUAGCACCUUGCUAAAAAGCAUCCUGGGUGGCGUCCAGGCUCACCAGGAAAGAAGUCAUGAUUGUUAAGCCAAGUCUGCUUUGGACAUGGGGUAGAGAGGUUGCAGAGUUUGCCAUCCUGGGUUUUCUCAGUAUCCAAUACCGACUGGAAGAAGCUCCUGCCAGCCAUGUAAGAAGGAGAAUGUCAGGCUCUAAUCAGGGAGAGCCUUGGAGAGCUGAGGAGAUUCCCCAAUUUCUUCCUGCUCAUCAUUUUCAGUGCCUGACAUCCAUUUUCACAGAGGAAUUAGCAGUAAGUUCUCUAAAAGGGGAGCUGAUUGCUGAUUUGCUUGUUUUGAGGGAUGAGGUAGAAGAGAGGAGUUGGGGAGACUUUGCUUUUCCCAAGAGCUGGUCACAGGAGAAGAAAGUGCUCUUUGUUGGUUGUAGCAGCUCUGGACUGGAAAGAAAAGCAGGUCAAACACCUGGGCCUGUAUACUGGGCACUGUGCCAUCCUCCUGGGAGGAUAGGUGUGGGGGGGGCACAGGCAGGUGACAUAGACACUGAACAAGUAGGAGUCGCGUUUAAAAUGACACAUGUCAUCAGUGUAGUGCCUGCCUUCUAGCACUGAUGGAGGGAGCUACGGUUUGGCUGCUGUGCAGCAGUGCACUAGGUAGAUAAGGUGUGACCAGGGAAGCUGGAAGGAGACUCGAGGAGCUGUGGGGACUGAAGACAUGUUUAUUCUCUCUGGGCAGCAGCAGCAAGGAGUCUUCAAAGACUACUGAUAUACUAAGACAGACAAAAGUGGCCCAUCGCCAAGUGGGCAUGCAGGCCAAGUGCUACCAAGGUCAGCAAUAUCAUUGUUUACAAAACAUAAGAGAUCAAGCCCUGAGCCUUUGGAGUGGGAGCACUGACUCAAAGGCCCUAGACUACCAGAGAACUAACCCUAGGAAGUAUCAAAUAGUGAGAACUCACACAAAGUAAACCACCUGAAUAUAAUAAUCAGCAUCACCCAACUACCAGUAGCACCCUGUGCAGGAUGCCUCAUCUAAAGAACAAACAAAACAAAAAUACAAUCCAAA